This 32-nucleotide non-coding RNA is filed under the name Geobacter sulfurreducens PCA. The record is from RNAcentral. Lineage: Bacteria; Pseudomonadati; Thermodesulfobacteriota; Desulfuromonadia; Geobacterales; Geobacteraceae.
CUCGCGGUCGGAGCUGCCGGUGAGGCGGCGCC